RNAcentral lists this ribosomal RNA (484 nucleotides) under uncultured bacterium. Its description in RNAcentral is "partial 16S ribosomal RNA". It matches the Rfam family "Bacterial small subunit ribosomal RNA", at positions 28 to 523 of the family's 1533-position model. The record is from RNAcentral.
GACGAACGCUGGCGGCGUGCUUAACACAUGCAAGUCGAACGAUGAACCCGGAGCUUGCUCCGGCGGAUUAGUGGCGAACGGGUGAGUAACACGUGAGUAACCUGCCCUUGACUCUGGGAUAACUGCUAGAAAUGGUAGCUAAUACCGGAUACGACCCUCGGCGGCAUCGCCAGGGGGUGGAAAGAAUUUCGGUCAAGGAUGGACUCGCGGCCUAUCAGCUAGUUGGUGAGGUAACGGCUCACCAAGGCGACGACGGGUAGCCGGCCUGAGCGGGUGAGCGGGCACACUGGGACUGAGACACGGCCCAGAGUCCUACGGGAGGCAGCAGUGGGGAAUAUUGCACAAUGGGCGCAAGCCUGAUGCAGCAACGCCGCGUGAGGGAUGACGGCCUUCGGGUUGUAAACCUCUUUUAGUAGGGAAGAAGCGAAAGUGACGGUACCUGCGGAAAAAGCACCGGCUAACUACGUGCCAGCAGCCGCAGUAA